CACCUGCCGUAAAUUUACCUGAUUGCCUGGACUCCUGGGCUAUUUAAGCUGAGGACUCAGAAGGCUUCUUCGCUGGGUCGUUGAGUUACUCUCGUUCUCGGACUCGUCCAUACCCCCGAUCUGUUUCACUGGUGGUGUGGAGUGAGAGUGAGAGUGCAGAAAACAAAUACGAGAGGAGCGAGUGAGUGGAGCGUGUUUGGAUUCAGAAGAGUGCCGAAGACAAACUGGGAAGGAGCGAAUGGGCGGAGCGUGUUUUGGACUUUCUCCCCUUUUUCCCCUGGACCGUUGCAUACCCCUGCCCUGUACACUGUAUAUACUUUCACGUGGUGUUUUGUAAAUAAAUUUACGACUGCUAUUCUAGUUCAGCUGGUCUGCGCCUGAGUCCAUUUUCGGCUGCGUGACACAAGAUGAGAUUUAUCCAGGACGUACGGCAGACCAUUCGUGAAAACGGAAUAGAGAAGUGGACCGAGGCAGCUGGCUUGGGACCACAGUUCAUUUCACAGCCCUCAGAGAAAUAAUCAUUAUAAUAAACCUUUUGCCUUCUUCCAGACAAAUAACUUUCCAUCCAGCACAAAGCAGCUGGUGAAAAAUCUAUAACAUUCUAGUUUAUCAAUCAAAAGAUCGUGAUUUAUUAAAUCAAAAGCAGCACUAAAGUCCAAGAAUACCACCCCGACCAAAUUCCCAUCAUCUAGAUGUUUAUGCAGUUAUCUGUCAUAUGAGUGAGAGCUGAGCUGGUGGCAUGACCAGGGUUGUAAGCAUGUUGAAACUGAGUGAGUAGAUGAUUUUCUGUUAAGUAAUGUUGAAUUUGCUCAUAGACAAUCCUCUCCAUAAUUUUACUUAGAACAGGGAGCAGACUAAUAGGUCUGCUAUUGACACCAUUAGAAACAGCAUUCUUGUUUUUAGGAAUAGGAAUUAUUUUCGUUUCUUUCCACUGCAAUGGAAAUAAGCUGCAUGCCAAAGAUCUAAUAAAUAUGUGACAUAUAGGAAGGGACACAAACUUGGCUGCAACUUUGAGCAGUUUACUGUCUGUGUUAUCAGAGCCACAGCAUGUAUCGUCAGGAAGUGAUAUCAAUAAACGCUCUACCAUCUCAA
Oreochromis aureus is the source of this 1092-nucleotide long non-coding RNA. RefSeq lists it as uncharacterized. The record is from RefSeq and is a predicted model, not a curated record. NCBI's taxonomy places the organism in Eukaryota, Metazoa, Chordata, Actinopteri, Cichliformes, Cichlidae. The transcript has 2 exons.